This 92-nucleotide microRNA precursor is filed under the name Triticum aestivum (bread wheat). Its description in RNAcentral is "miR9674b stem-loop (tae-MIR9674b)". Lineage: Eukaryota; Viridiplantae; Streptophyta; Magnoliopsida; Poales; Poaceae. The record is from miRBase by way of RNAcentral.
GAACUCGUCCAUAGCAUCAUCCAUCCUACCCUUCAACGGUGGUUGCCGAUUCCCCACGGUGGGUAAGAUGGCUGAUGCUAUGAAUAACUUCA